This 560-nucleotide ribosomal RNA is filed under the name uncultured Glomus. RNAcentral describes it as "eukaryotic LSU rRNA". The stretch from base 158 to 311 matches the Rfam family "5.8S ribosomal RNA". The record is from RNAcentral. Lineage: Eukaryota; Fungi; Glomeromycota; Glomeromycetes; Glomerales; Glomeraceae.
GGAAGUAAAAGUCGUAACAAGGUUUCCGUAGGUGAACCUGCGGAAGGAUCAUUACUGAUUUAGCGAACCGAGCGUUAGCGAGGUUUUGCGAUCAACUUGUAUUUAAAGCCCACUCUUCAAUUUAUAAAAUUUUUGUAUUAAUGAUAAAUUUAAAGAUCACUUUCAACAACGGAUCUCUUGGCUCUCGCAUCGAUGAAGAACGUAGCGAAGUGCGAUAAGUAAUGUGAAUUGCAGUAUUCCGUGAAUCAUCGAAUCUUUGAACGCAUAUUGCACUUUCUGGUAUUCCGGAAAGUAUGCCUGUUUGAGGGUCAGUUAAAUAAAAAUCGGUGUUGUUGCUGCCUUUCGUGGUGACGCGUCGGAAUUGAGUUGUCUUACCUUCGGUUAAGUGACUUAAAAUUUUGUAUGAUUUUUGAACGUAUUUAAAUUUAUUUGUACGUUUGAGAUAUCGAAUAUUUAUUAGGUUCGGUCAUUCUAACGACUCGCGCCUAUAAUUUUCCAUUAAAUGACCUCAAAUCAGGUAGGACUACCCGCUGAACUUAAGCAUAUCAAUAAGCGGAGGA